GGUUCGAUGGCGUAGUUGGUUAUCGCAUCUGUCUAACAUAUAGUUUUGACUGUGACCCUGUUACACAGAAGGUCCCCAGUUUCGAGCCUGGGUCGAAUCA
Molecule: non-coding RNA, 100 nt
Organism: Marasmius tenuissimus
Lineage: Eukaryota; Fungi; Basidiomycota; Agaricomycetes; Agaricales; Marasmiaceae
Source: the annotation of a GenBank genome assembly